This is a long non-coding RNA of Planococcus citri (citrus mealybug), 3002 nucleotides long. RefSeq lists it as uncharacterized. The record is from RefSeq and is a predicted model, not a curated record. Lineage: Eukaryota; Metazoa; Arthropoda; Insecta; Hemiptera; Pseudococcidae. The transcript has 5 exons.
CAACGCAUAAAAUACAGACGACACGAGUAUUUUUUUUUUUUUUUUCAAUUAGAAAACAAGCCAGUUCAAAGCUUUCUGUUCUUCUCGGUGAAAAGUGAACCUGGGCAGCAACACAACUAAACCAUCAUGCCAAAAAUCAUCACGAGCAACUCGAGAUUUCUGAAAACGAUUUGAAAAUUAGCUAGGUAGCGGUAGGCUCCGAAAUGAUCUGAAAGUGCUGGUUUUUCAAGAAAUCAAGAUGAAGGGGAUUGAAAUCAAGUGCGUAGAUCAUCGCAGAUCAUAUUCAGUAUCAGUACCAUACUUACCCUUAAAAUCCUGACAGCACUGAUCCUAUGCUACAGCUUCAAUACAUGCAACAGCAGCAGAAUUAUGGGAAAUAGCCAAAAAAUAUGGGCUAUACUGAAUAGACUUUAUUAUUUUAUUUUAAGUAUUUUAUUUUGUUACCAGAUUCGCUUAUAAUCAUUUUUUUAAAGCGUUAAAAUAAUUAUAAGAGCUAAAAAUAUUAUAUCUUCAGAGAUUUUCCAUGACAUUUUCGCCUAUAUUGGCCAUAAUUACCAUGGCCUUUAUUAGUGAUAAGUAAUAUUAUAAUACCAGAUGGUAGAAAUAAAUGUGUGAAAACUUUUUCAAAAAUCCUGCAAAUAUGUAUGAUUUAAUUUUAGGUUCAGAAUCAUUCAGAAACGCUUAUAAACCAUUUCGUCGAAAUAAUUUGGAAUUAUUGAGAAAUUCUAACCUAUUUUGAUAGGUUGCAAGGUCACAUUUUGAAUGAUUGUAUGAUACUACAUUUUCACUUGAAAUUGGAAGAGGGACCUCAGUUUGAAAUUGCAGCCCAUUGUGGGAGUCGUUUCAGUUGAUGUGGAAAGAACUCAUUUAAGCUAUAAAUAUGAAUUUUUUUGGCCUUCAACUUCAAUCGAAUUUCACGAUGACCGUCUAAAAAAAUUGAAAAUGUGUUCAGUAAACACAAACCAAAGUCCCUGGGUCUUUUGAGGGCCAUUUGAAAUUUCUGAAGCUGAUUAAAAAAAUCAUCCGUGGCUUCAGAAUGCCCGAAACUAAAAGUUUUUGAUGUGUGGGAGUUUGAAUUUAAAGAAUUAUUCACAUUGGCUCACAUUCACUCAGAAAAAUUUAUACAUUUCAUGAAAACGUUCCAGAAUCUCCCUUAAAACAGCUUCUUUGAGUUUAAAAAAUUUUUAAAAAUUCACCCAAAAUCCAAAAAUGAAUUUCAUUACCUAUUUGAAAUUUUUAUUACUAAGGUUUUAAGACGUGUUCUUUCGAUCUAAAUCGGAGAAUAGAAAUUUGAAAAGGGUUCUCUUGUACUUAUACAGACAACAAAAAUAACUCAUCGAUAUAAAUUCGAAUCAACCCUAAGAAAUAUAGGUCUAAUUCUAAUUAAUCGAUGGCAUUCUUUCGUUUUUCAAUUUCCUUUUCCGAUAACAUUAGUUAUAAUCGAUAAAAACUUCAACCAACGCUAAUAAAAUCUUUCGAAUUAAUCAGCAACCUACUACGUAAAACUGCGCAGUUAUAAGAAAAUUACACGAGUAUACUUUUCUUCUCAAAAUAGGCCAGUCUAGAGCACUUUGCUGAUCUCUGUGAAAGAAGAAUUUCUCAAGCUACACAAAACAGAACCAUCAUGUAUAAUAAAUAUACAAACAUCCUCGCGAUCGUAAUGGGCAUUAUAGCCACAGUAAGCGUCAUUAUCAAACCAUUUUUGUAAUAUUUCUCAGAACCGUGGAUAAAACGGCGUUAAAAUGUACUCUACUGAUCCAGUAAGGGCCUGCUACGGAUUUAACGUAGCCCUUUUUUCUCGCCAACGUCGCUUUUACUUAUACUUAUACCUAUGUUUUUAAAUUGACCCUCUAAUAAUUGUAAUACUAGAUGAUAGAAAUACAUACUAAGUUCAAAUACUUAAUCAUUAAGUCGUAGCCUUGUAAGCAAAAAUAACGAAUAGAUAUAACUUUAAACAAUAACAUGGGAAAAUAAUUUUUUUUUUUUUACUUCGAUCAAAUCAAUAAAAUCGUUGUGUUUUUUCAUUUUAUUCCUGCAAAAAUUAUCUAUCGUUUCAAUCUGCUCGAAGAUGUAGACGACUUAGAAACUUUAUUUCAUACGAGUAACAAAGUGGAUCGAAGAAAAAAAGUAUCCGAGAUUUUGGCAAAAAUUAAUGGAAAAGUUUACUUUGAGUGAGAUACCACCCAGAUAAAAUUUGAGCCUUCCUGCUGUUCAAAGGGUUGAGCCAGGGCUCCUCAAAGUUGGGUCAUUAUCGAAAAAACCGUGGGUUUUGGCCACUUUGGGGCAUUACAACAUGUGCAAUCUCUCAGUCACCUCAAAAGUUACGAUUCAAGUUCCUAAAUCUCCCUGACUCAAUUCAUCAACAAUUUUGUAAAAAAAAAAUAUAUCUACGUCUUACAGACAACAAAAAUAACUCACCGAUAUAAAUUCGAAUCAACCCUAAGAAAUAUAGGUCUAAUUCUUAAUCAAUCGAUGGCAUUCUUUCGUUGUUCAAUUUCCUUUUCCGAUAACAUUAGUUAAUUAUCGAUAAAAACUCCAAUGAACGCUAAUAAAAUCUCUCGAAUUAAUCAGCAACCUGAUUAAACACCGUAAUUAUAAACAAAUUGAACCAGUAUAAUUUUCUUUUCAAAAUAGGACAGUUGAGAGCACUCUGCUGUUCUCUGUGAAAGAAGAAUCUCUCCAGCAACACAACAGAACCAUUAUGGGAACAUUCACAAAAGUCGUCACGAUCGUAAUGGGCGUUGUUUACACAAUAGGCAGCAUUGUCCACACAUUUUUUUACUAACAAAACGGCGUUAAAAUGUUGAACAACAUGGAAAAAAUAAUCCAAAAUGGUGACCAUAUUUGCGUGAAAAUACGAACUGAACACUUUGAACCAUUAUUUUGCCUCGAUCAAAUCAUUAUAAUGAUUAAUCAUUUUGUUUUUUCAUUUACCUAUAACCUACUUAUUUCAGUAAAAAAUAUUGUUUCGUAGAAUAAAUAAUAAAUCAUCUCAAAAUAAA